RNAcentral lists this ribosomal RNA (414 nucleotides) under Fusibacter ferrireducens. Its description in RNAcentral is "bacterial SSU rRNA". It matches the Rfam family "Bacterial small subunit ribosomal RNA", at positions 1 to 396 of the family's 1533-position model. Lineage: Bacteria; Bacillati; Bacillota; Clostridia; Eubacteriales; Fusibacteraceae. The record is from RNAcentral.
AUAAUUAAGAGUUUGAUCCUGGCUCAGGAUGAACGCUGGCGGCGUGCCUAACACAUGCAAGUCGAGCGAGAAUUGUUGGAACGGAGACUUCGGUCAAAGAGAAGACAAGGAAAGCGGCGGACGGGUGAGUAACGCGUGGGUAACCUGCCCCAUACAAAGGGAUAGCCACUGGAAACGGUGAUUAAUACCCUAUAAGACUACAGAAUCGCAUGAUUCAGUAGCCAAAGAUUUAUCGGUAUGGGAUGGACCCGCGUCUGAUUAGCUAGUUGGUGAGGUAACGGCUCACCAAGGCGACGAUCAGUAGCCGACCUGAGAGGGUGAUCGGCCACACUGGAACUGAGACACGGUCCAGACUCCUACGGGAGGCAGCAGUGGGGAAUAUUGCACAAUGGGCGCAAGCCUGAUGCAGCAACG